GUACGCCGCCGUCAGGUCCUCCAGCCCCCACACGGACUACGUGAAGGCGAUCGACAUCUGGUUCUUCGUGUGCAUCCUCCUCAAUGUGCUCGUCUUGCUUCAGUUUGGAACGGUGAUCACCAUCAGGCGAUGCCAGGAGAAGGCAAAGACCUCCGCAGUCGCACCUGCUCCCAAGGUGACGCCUGUGAUGUCUGGCACCGAUACGAUAUUGUCUGGCUUUGUGUUAGAGAAAUGGAUCAACCUCAGGAAACUAAAACAAAGAAGGGACAGCCACUGAAUGCUGACUCUGUCACAUUUAUUCCUGGUCUCUUCAGGCCUCCACCAAGGGGAUUCAUCGCCAUAGAUGCCAACGAUCCUUUCAUCACAGGCCCUGAGGUACUUCAACAAGAAUGCAGCCUCUUUCAAGGAGAAAAUGCAACCAGAAACCAAGAAACCGAAGAAAUUUUAAAAUUCUCUGAGAAAGACUGGAAGGAAAUUGCAGAGGUUCAGAUAGAGAGGGAGAGACAACUAAGGGAGAAGGAGCAAGCAGAAAUGGAAAAGGUGGCUGCCAAAAAAGCAGUGGACCAGAAGAUAAAGCAGAAUCUAGACCGUAAGGUGGAUUUGAUCUUCAACAAGCACAAGUUCUUUGUAAAGAAACAGUGUCCUGUCCUGAUUCCUUACAAGUCAUCACUGAAUCAUGCAGAGCAUCAAGCCUACCUGAGAGCUUUUGUUAAAUUCAAGAUCAGAGCACCAAAAACAGCUUGUGAAUCCACAGAAUAUGAGCAAUACAUGAGACUACAGAAUCGUGUGUAUGAGGAACAGAAGAUGUUCAUGGAUUUCUCCUUCCAAGUGUCAAGGUUGCAGUUAGAGUCAUACAAUUUCAUUCCAAAGCUGAUCAAUGAGUAUGUCAAUGAGUAUGUGCAGCAUCGCAGCAGACGUGCAACUAAAUACAUGCCCAUAUACUACCAAGAACUAGAAGUGCCCAUCAGACCCCAAGAUCCUUCGAACAGGUUAAGCAAUCUUCAUUUUCAACACUUGGGUCACUUACUCAGUCUGGGCUCUGUGCCGUGGCUUAAAUUGCCAAAUGUUCACAUAUUGAACAAAGUCAGUUUGGAUGAAUCUGUCUUGAAAACCCAACCCCCAGUUCCAAAGGAGAAAGAGGAUAAGAGGAACAUGCUUUCAGGGACAGUGAGUGAGGACCCCAAUGCAAUAUAUUUAGCACAGAAGCAUCGAGCAAAUAUAGUGAUUUGCACAAGUGCCUUGAAGACACUAGCAGACAAUCAUGGCCCAAACUUUGACAAUGAAUGGGACAUUCCUGUGAAAGUGCAGAGCUACAACAAUGAAGGUGAGAAUGGUGAGGAGAAAAGCCACCGUGUUGUUUUCAUAGACAAGCCAAUGCCAAAGAAGACGUGGACACCCCUGGACAAAAAACAGCUGUAUUAUAAGAAAGCAGCUCUAGCAUCACUGACGGAAAUCAAGCGGCUGAAUGUAUUCAGAAUGAGAUCACCACCAUUAUUUAAGCAUGAGAUGAUGGAUCAAAGUACCAUUGAAGUGAAGGAUCAGGUUGACUAUGAUGAUGACUUUCUGGACCUAACAUCAACAGCUAAUCAUGACAUCUUUGGAAUAGAUUCCAAUGUGAAUGAGUCAGAUUUUUUUUCUUCACCAAAGAGGAAAAAUGAUACAGAGAAAGUUAAAAGCAACAAAAAAUCAAGAAAGAAAGUAGCUGGCAAGAAACCAGAAGAUAAAGGCAAGAGUCCAAACAAAUCUGUUUCAGAUGAGCCCUUGGAUUCCACAAAGGAACAGAGUAUAACAUCUGAAGUCAGUGCUGACAGAGGAAGCACAGAGAGUGUGAAGCCAUUAACUUCACAGGCAUUUGACAGCAAUAGCUUUCUAGAGGACCUCAUUGACUUGCAGGAUUCUUUACUGAAGCCUCUGCAGACUCAGAACCCCCCAGUGAAGGAAAAAGAAGGAGAAAUUGACGCAGAUCCAGUUCAUCCCUGGCCUUGGUCAAACAGACUUCAGACAGACUGGUCCAGUCAUGCCGAGGCAAAAUCUUGUGAGUUGUGGACUGGAAAGAACAAACACUACCAACUCUUCUCCCUGGGACCCAGGAACCUCCAGCCAAAUGCCGCAUUUCAAGAUUUACGAAUUAUUGUCAUACACAACAUUCACGGCAUCUCAAGGUUCAAGUCCAAAGAGAUAAAGAGUAAAGCUUAUAUAGUUUAUCCAAAGAUAGAAAAUCAGCCAUAUUUUGGUUGUGAAGUAAGCACCUUGUCUGAGAUUACUCAACAAUGGAUUAACCUGUUGGUAGCCCCAAGCACUACUCUGUUACAAGAUUGGGUCAUCUGCAAGCGUUCAACUUGCACUCCAGUUAUGCUUUGGCCACACCGACCACACGGCCGUAUACAGUUCCGCCGUGGCUGGCAAUCGACACGCACCUCCUGACGCCGUUCCACUACAAGCACUACAAGAUCCCUGCUACUUUUCCGAUGGACAACCCUGAUAAAAAACUCACAUCAUCACAGAAGUCGCUGAAAAACAAAAAAGCGAAAAACAAGAAGAAACUUGCAGACCUAGAAAAAAUGGCAGAAGCUGAAGAAGAGGAUCAGAAUGAGAAAAGUUAAUAUUUGAAAUAUUUAAUUAGGAAAUAUUUGUAUUAAUGCUUCCCUUUGAUUGCCAGUUAUUCUUCACUGGAGAAAAAGUUUAUGUAAAAAGGCAUUAGCAUCUCCUCAUUUAGGUAUGUAUCAAACAGAAAACUUUGUAAGAGAAUAAUAUAUAUUUUUCUAUUAUACUAAAAAAAAUGCUUGACAAUAAAAAACAAAUUUUC
This 2806-nucleotide unclassified non-coding RNA is filed under the name Penaeus monodon (black tiger shrimp). RNAcentral describes it as "little elongation complex subunit 2-like, transcript variant X5". Lineage: Eukaryota; Metazoa; Arthropoda; Malacostraca; Decapoda; Penaeidae. The record is from RNAcentral.